This 461-nucleotide ribosomal RNA is filed under the name uncultured Thauera sp. RNAcentral's name for it is "bacterial SSU rRNA". It matches the Rfam family "Bacterial small subunit ribosomal RNA", at positions 919 to 1382 of the family's 1533-position model. Lineage: Bacteria; Pseudomonadati; Pseudomonadota; Betaproteobacteria; Rhodocyclales; Zoogloeaceae. The record is from RNAcentral.
ACCCGCACAAGCGGUGGAUGAUGUGGAUUAAUUCGAUGCAACGCGAAAACCUUACCUACCCUUGACAUGUCUGGAACCUUGGUGAGAGCCGAGGGUGCCUUCGGGAGCCAGAACACAGGUGCUGCAUGGCUGUCGUCAGCUCGUGUCGUGAGAUGUUGGGUUAAGUCCCGCAACGAGCGCAACCCUUGUCACUAGUUGCCAUCAUUUAGUUGGGCACUCUAGUGAGACUGCCGGUGACAAACCGGAGGAAGGUGGGGAUGACGUCAAGUCCUCAUGGCCCUUAUGGGUAGGGCUUCACACGUCAUACAAUGGUCGGUACAGAGGGUUGCCAACCCGCGAGGGGGAGCUAAUCCCACAAAGCCGAUCGUAGUCCGGAUCGCAGUCUGCAACUCGACUGCGUGAAGUCGGAAUCGCUAGUAAUCGUGGAUCAGCAUGUCACGGUGAAUACGUUCCCGGGUCUU